UACAGAGGUGGCAAGCGUUGUUCGGAAUUAUUGGGCGUAAAGAGCACGUAGGCGGCCUUGCAAGUCAGUUGUGAAAGCCUUCCGCUUAACGGAAGAACGGCAGCUGAUACUACAGGGCUAGAGUACGGGAGGGGAGAGUGGAACUUCUGGUGGAGCGGUGAAAUGCGUAGAUAUCAGAAGGAACGCCUGCGGCGAAAGCGACUCUCUGGCCCGAAACUGACGCUGAGUGUGCGAAAGCUAGGGGAGCAAACGGG
This 254-nucleotide ribosomal RNA is filed under the name uncultured bacterium. Its description in RNAcentral is "partial 16S ribosomal RNA". It matches the Rfam family "Bacterial small subunit ribosomal RNA", at positions 524 to 776 of the family's 1533-position model. The record is from RNAcentral.